RNAcentral lists this ribosomal RNA (171 nucleotides) under Triticum aestivum (bread wheat). RNAcentral's name for it is "partial small subunit ribosomal RNA". The record is from RNAcentral. Lineage: Eukaryota; Viridiplantae; Streptophyta; Magnoliopsida; Poales; Poaceae.
AUGCUCAUAUUUAAUGAAUUCAUACGUAAACAAUCGCUGGUGGAGCUGCCAAUCAAAGGCCGAUCAUUCACUUGGAGCAACAUGCAAUCUAACCCGCUACUCAAACAGUUGGAUUGGCAUUUUACCUCUGUCAACUGGGCUGUCAAAUUCCCAAACACUGUUGUCAUGCCC